This 500-nucleotide ribosomal RNA is filed under the name uncultured Glomus. RNAcentral's name for it is "SSU rRNA". It matches the Rfam family "Eukaryotic small subunit ribosomal RNA", at positions 591 to 1092 of the family's 1831-position model. The record is from RNAcentral. Lineage: Eukaryota; Fungi; Glomeromycota; Glomeromycetes; Glomerales; Glomeraceae.
CCAAUAGCGUAUAUUAAAGUUGUUGCAGUUAAAAAGCUCGUAGUUGAAUUUCGGGGUUAGUAGGUUGGUCAUGCCUCUGGUAUGUACUGGUCUCACUGAUUCCUCCUUCCUGCUGAACCUUAAUGCCAUUAAUUUGUUGUUUUGGGGAAUUUGGACUGUUACUUUGAAAAAAUUAGAGUGUUUAAAGCAAGCUAACGCUUGAAUACAUUAGCAUGGAAUAAUGAAAUAGGACGUUCGAUCCUAUUUUGUUGGUUUCUAGGAUUGACGUAAUGAUUAAUAGGGAUAGUUGGGGGGAUUAGUAUUCAAUUGUCAGAGGUGAAAUUCUUGGAUUUAUUGAAGACUAACUACUGCGAAAGCAUUUGCCAAGGAUGUUUUCAUUAAUCAAGAACGAAAGUUAGGGGAUCGAAGACGAUCAGAUACCGUCGUAGUCUUAACCAUAAACUAUGCCGACUAGGGAUCGGACGAUGUUAAUUUUUUAAUGACUCGUUCGGCGCCUUACG